This 253-nucleotide ribosomal RNA is filed under the name uncultured bacterium. RNAcentral describes it as "partial 16S ribosomal RNA". It matches the Rfam family "Bacterial small subunit ribosomal RNA", at positions 524 to 776 of the family's 1533-position model. The record is from RNAcentral.
UACGUAGGGUGCGAGCGUUAAUCGGAAUUACUGGGCGUAAAGCGUGCGCAGGCGGUGAUGUAAGACAGUUGUGAAAUCCCCGGGCUCAACCUGGGAACUGCAUCUGUGACUGCAUCGCUGGAGUGCGGCAGAGGGGGAUGGAAUUCCGCGUGUAGCAGUGAAAUGCGUAGAUAUGCGGAGGAACACCGAUGGCGAAGGCGGCAUCCUGGACCGACAUUGACGCUGAGGAGCGAAAGCUAGGGGAGCAAACGGG